AGUGCGGAGCUACCAUGCAGUCGAGCGGAUGAGAGGAGCUUGCUCUUCGAUUCAGCGGCGGACGGGUGAGUAAUGCCUAGGAAUCUGCCUAGUAGUGGGGGACAACGUUUCGAAAGGAACGCUAAUACCGCAUACGUCCUACGGGAGAAAGUGGGGGAUCUUCGGACCUCACGCUAUUAGAUGAGCCUAGGUCGGAUUAGCUAGUUGGUAGGGUAAAGGCCUACCAAGGCGACGAUCCGUAACUGGUCUGAGAGGAUGAUCAGUCACACUGGAACUGAGACACGGUCCAGACUCCUACGGGAGGCAGCAGUGGGGAAUAUUGGACAAUGGGCGAAAGCCUGAUCCAGCCAUGCCGCGUGUGUGAAGAAGGCCUUCGGGUCGUAAAGCACUUUAAGUUGGGAGGAAGGGCUCAUAGCGAAUACCUGUGAGUUUUGACGUUACCAACAGAAUAAGCACCGGCUAACUUCGUGCCAGCAGCCGCGGUAAUACGAAGGGUGCAAGCGUUAAUCGGAAUUACUGGGCGUAAAGCGCGCGUAGGUGGCUUGAUAAGUUGGAUGUGAAAUCCCCGGGCUCAACCUGGGAACUGCAUCCAAAACUGUCUGGCUAGAGUGCGGUAGAGGGUAGUGGAAUUUCCAGUGUAGCGGUGAAAUGCGUAGAUAUUGGAAGGAACACCAGUGGCGAAGGCGACUACCUGGACUGACACUGACACUGAGGUGCGAAAGCGUGGGGAGCAAACAGGAUUAGAUACCCUGGUAGUCCACGCCGUAAACGAUGUCAACUAGCCGUUGGGAUCCUUGAGAUCUUAGUGGCGCAGCUAACGCAUUAAGUUGACCGCCUGGGGAGUACGGCCGCAAGGUUAAACUCAAAUGAAUUGACGGGGGCCGCAACAGCGGUGGAGCAUGUGGUUUAUUUCGAGCACCCGAAGAACCUACCUGGCCUGACUGCUGGAACUUUCCC
Molecule: ribosomal RNA, 957 nt
Filed under: Pseudomonas oryzihabitans
Lineage: Bacteria; Pseudomonadati; Pseudomonadota; Gammaproteobacteria; Pseudomonadales; Pseudomonadaceae
Description: bacterial SSU rRNA
Rfam family: Bacterial small subunit ribosomal RNA
Source: RNAcentral